UCCAUGCUUGACUGUCACCACCCAACCACACUGCCAUGAAAGUCAGUUCAUCAUUCUCUAAUUUGAUUAACAAAAUGGCCAAACAUAUAAAUAGGCAUCCAACUCAACGCACCACAAAUUCAUUAUCUUUUCCACACAUCACAAACUCCUUCAAACCAAACAUUAAUCAAAGAGAGAAUCCAGUUUCUUGUAGCCAAGUUCUUUGUGAAUGUAGAAAACAGAGCUAGUGUUUGUCCCUUUCCCAGGGAUUGGCCACGUUGUUUCAAAACUCCUUGUUCACCAUGAUGACAGAAUCUCCAUCACUGUUAUCAUCAUCAGGCUAGCUUUGGACUCCAAAAUCAGCAAGUACACUGAGUCGCUCCAAAAUGCGAAUUUUUGUUUUUUCAUCCAAUGUUUGAUACCUCAAAAUUAUUUCAAGGGAGCAAUUUUCUUACUCGUCUCUGGCUUUGCCAGCGAGUGAUCUGGUUCCUUUCUCCUUUUGUCCUCUCUCACAGAUUUCUUUGUUCAGUUUUUAAAAGGUCAAAGAAGGGACAGGUAUCCUCAGUAUGCAAAAGCUGCACUUUGUCAAGCUUGUUAUGGAUCAUUACGCCUUGCAAGAACCUUGGAACAGAAAGCUGCAGAACUUCUGGGAGCUAUACCAAAACCCUUUCUUUCGCUACAUCUUCGAUUUGAACCUGACAUGGUAGCAUAUAGCCAAUGUGAGCACUCAGGCCUUUCUCCUGCCUCCAUAGAAGCUAUUGAAGCUGCAAGGGGAGACAGAAAACCAUGGACUGGGGAGUUGGCUCGUGUUUGGAGAAAACGAGGGAAGUGUCCCCUCACACCUAACGAGACAGCCUUCGUUUUGCAGGCACUUUCCAUCCCUAAAAACACAAACAUGUAUCUUGCAGCUGGGGAUGGCCUGGUGGAAAUUGAAGGUUUAAAACCCACUUACACCAAUGUGGUCACCAAAUCUGCACUUCUCCGGGGCAAAUGUAAAAACCAAAACAACUGGCAUUUUACAUGGUGAUUUUCCAGUCGUAUGUUUUUCUUCCCCGUUAUCGUGUGAUUUCAAGGAAUGACUUUUGUGCAUUUAAAAUUA
Molecule: long non-coding RNA, 1078 nt
Organism: Populus nigra (black poplar)
Lineage: Eukaryota; Viridiplantae; Streptophyta; Magnoliopsida; Malpighiales; Salicaceae
Exons: 2
Source: RefSeq, a predicted model, not a curated record